UUUGAAUUUCAUACUUGAAUACGCAGAAACUUUUAGGCCCCCAAAAUAACUCAGAUUUGUGAGGAGAAAGAUACUGACUUUAAAAGCCCAGGAUCAGUAAGAGACCCUGAGAUUCCUGAGGCUACCUGGAAAACAUUACAGGGGAAGUGUAUGAAGAAACAGUAUUUGGAGGAGAAAGACCUAGAGGAACUGAAGUCUGUUAGUGAAGCUUGAAGCUUGAUCAGCCUUUUGUGAGAACAGCCAAAAAGCACAGUGCCAGGAUUGAACUCUACUUGUGCAGGAUUGAACCCCAUUAGUCUUUUUAUGCCAGGGAAUGGUGGAGAAAGAAACCAGCUGUAGUUCUCUGUUUUGAUAUACCCAACCGGUAUUUGGAAAGUCUGGAGUCAGUUGUAAAGAAGAAUACAUUACAGAUAAUUCAUCAUAAUUGGGUGGUCAAACUGGGGAGACCAUCUGGACCUUUACUUUCUGUAGGCUAAUUUGCCAUAGCCUAAUAACAGGGCAUACAUAGUAAAUAUCCUUUUUUGUUAAAAUUUUUUAAAAAUUGUAAUAGUUAUGUUAGGAUACUUUGUUAGAAUCUAGAAUGUGAAAUAACGUACUUCAUGUGUCUUCUUACCAAAAAUACCAACGAUAAGGGGAAAAGCCAUCUUUAAUUUAUUAAAUCAACUUGAAAAUGGCAAACAAGAUAGCAGAUCAGGAAAUGUUCCUGGGUUUUCAGAAAGGUAACAUACUAAAAGAAGGUUAGUUACCUAGUACCAACAAGAAAUUGUAAUAGUGGGCUGGGCGCGGUGGCUCACGCCUGUAAUCCCAGCACUUUGGGAGGCCGAGGCGG
This 829-nucleotide long non-coding RNA is filed under the name Homo sapiens (human). RNAcentral describes it as "HSALNT0057095". Lineage: Eukaryota; Metazoa; Chordata; Mammalia; Primates; Hominidae. The record is from RNAcentral.